UACGGGAGGUGCAAGCGUUGUUCGGAAUUACUGGGCGUAAAGCGCACGUAGGCGGCUAUUCAAGUCGGGGGUGAAAGCCCGGGGCUCAACCCCGGAACUGCCCUCGAAACUAGGUAGCUAGAAUCUUGGAGAGGCGAGUGGAAUUCCGAGUGUAGAGGUGAAAUUCGUAGAUAUUCGGAAGAACACCAGUGGCGAAGGCGACUCGCUGGACAAGUAUGACGCUGAGGUGCGAAAGCGGUGGGGAGCAAAACAGG
Molecule: ribosomal RNA, 254 nt
Filed under: uncultured bacterium
Lineage: Bacteria
Description: partial 16S ribosomal RNA
Rfam family: Bacterial small subunit ribosomal RNA
Source: RNAcentral